Molecule: ribosomal RNA, 478 nt
Filed under: uncultured bacterium
Lineage: Bacteria
Description: bacterial SSU rRNA
Rfam family: Bacterial small subunit ribosomal RNA
Source: RNAcentral
GGCUCAGGAUAAACGCUGGCGGCGCACAUAAGACAUGCAAGUCGAACGGACUUAACCAUUAGUUUACUAUUGGAGCGGUUAGUGGCGGACUGGUGAGUAACACGUAAGCAACCUGCCUGCUAGAGGGGAAUAACAGUGAGAAAUCACUGCUAAUACCGCAUAUGCUCACAGUAUCGCAUGAUACAGUGAGGAAAGGAGUAAUCCACUAGCAGAUGGGCUUGCGUCUGAUUAGAUAGUUGGUGGGGUAACGGCCUACCAAGUCUACGAUCAGUAGCCGAACUGAGAGGUUGAACGGCCACAUUGGGACUGAGAUACGGCCCAGACUCCUACGGGAGGCAGCAGUCGGGAAUAUUGCGCAAUGGAGGAAACUCUGACGCAGUGACGCCGCGUAUGGGAAGAAGGUUUUAGGAUUGUAAACCAUUUUAGACAGGGAAGAACAAUGACAGUACCUGUAGAAUAAGCUCCGGCUAACUACGUG